RNAcentral lists this transfer RNA (73 nucleotides) under Camelus bactrianus (Bactrian camel). It matches the Rfam family "tRNA". From Rfam's summary of the family: Transfer RNA (tRNA) molecules are approximately 80 nucleotides in length. Their secondary structure includes four short double-helical elements and three loops (D, anti-codon, and T loops). Lineage: Eukaryota; Metazoa; Chordata; Mammalia; Artiodactyla; Camelidae. RNAcentral also lists the same sequence under 2 other names. The record is from Rfam by way of RNAcentral.
GAGGGUGUAGCUCAAGUGGUAGAGUGCAUGCCUAGCAUGCAUGAGGUCCUGGGUUCAAUCCCCGGUACCUUCA